RNAcentral lists this long non-coding RNA (669 nucleotides) under Drosophila guanche. The record is from RNAcentral. Lineage: Eukaryota; Metazoa; Arthropoda; Insecta; Diptera; Drosophilidae.
GCAUAAAAGCUCUCCACUUUGGCGGAGGGAGCAUCAGUUGUCUCUUGAGCAUCCCAUAGCCCUUUUAUAACUCAAUCAGUUUCUCAAUUUCAAUAUGGCAUUCCUUAUUAUGAGUAUGCUCAGUAUCCUGGUUGUCUUGGCCCAAGGAUCGCAACUUCCUACUGUUGGACAUGUAUCAAUCGUUGGAUCUCCUCAUACUUCAGGCUUCGUUUCAUCUGGCUCUGGUGGUAUCCCUGCUGCUUCUCAAGGCCGCUUUCAGCCUGUCAGUGGAUCGUCUGUACCCCAGCCUCAUCGUCCUGUGACUGGCCAUGGAUCAGUUGUUUUAGUUCCUGCUGGUGCAACUCGUCAUGUGUCUGGAUCUCGCCAUCAAAGUGCUCUUCCCGUUGCUGCUCCACGCACACAGGCAUCUGGAACAUACCAAAGGAUUGCUGCAGCUCCUGCCAUCAGUUAUCGCCCUCGUCAGACUCUGGGCUCAGUUUUACCUGUUCAUCAGCCUCAGGGUGCAUAUGGAAAUGUUCAUCAGAAUCGCAAUCACCAACAGAAACCCUACUAAGACUACCUUCCACCCAUUGAACCGAAUUGCUGGCCAAACUUAUUAAAUUUAUCUAUAUUUAUUCUUACUAAUGUACAAAAUAUUCGUUUAAUAAACUAAUUGCAACUGAAACCCAA